Molecule: ribosomal RNA, 253 nt
Filed under: uncultured bacterium
Lineage: Bacteria
Description: partial 16S ribosomal RNA
Rfam family: Bacterial small subunit ribosomal RNA
Source: RNAcentral
UACAGAGGUCUCAAGCGUUGUUCGGAUUCAUUGGGCGUAAAGGGUGCGUAGGCGGUCGGGUAAGUCUGAUGUGAAAUCUCAGAGCUCAACUCUGAAACUGCAUUGGAUACUAUUCGGCUUGAGGUCUGGAGGGGGGACUGGAAUUCUCGGUGUAGCAGUGAAAUGCGUAGAUAUCGAGAGGAACACCAGUGGCGAAGGCGAGUCCCUGGACAGUUCCUGACACUGAGACACGAAGGCCAGGGGAGCAAACGGG